AAUUUAUGAAGCCAGGAACAUUUUAUGCCUUACCUCAGAGUCCACAGUUGUUCAAGCGAAUGCUAAUGGUAUCUGGUUUUGAGAAAUAUUAUCAGAUUGCCAGGUGCUUUCGAGAUGAAGAUUUGAGAGCAGAUAGGCAACCUGAGUUUACACAACUUGAUAUGGAAUUGGCCUUUACACCUUUGGAGGACAUGCUGAAACUUAAUGAGAACUAAAUCUGGCUUAUAUUUCAAGAGAUAGCAGGAGUUCAACUUCCAAAUCCUUUCCCUAGACUUACCUAUGCUGAAGCAAUGAAACAUUAUGGAUCGGACAUGCCUGACCUUCGCUUUAGUCUGGAGCUAAUGGAUAUCGGUGGCGGGAGCUUGAGGAUUUAUAAGCACGAAGUUCAAGAAAAAAUCUUGGAAAUUGUUGGCAUUCCUCACAAACAG
Zingiber officinale is the source of this 428-nucleotide long non-coding RNA. RefSeq lists it as uncharacterized. The record is from RefSeq and is a predicted model, not a curated record. Lineage: Eukaryota; Viridiplantae; Streptophyta; Magnoliopsida; Zingiberales; Zingiberaceae. The transcript is spliced from 4 exons.